UACGGGGGGGAGCAAGCGUUGUUCGGAUUUACUGGGCGUAAAGGGCGCGUAGGCGGCCUCUGCAAGUCGACUGUGAAAUCUCCGGGCUUAACCUGGGAACUGCGUUUGAAACUGGAAGGCUUGAGUGUGGCAGAGGGGGGGUGGAAUUCCACGUGUAGCAGUGAAAUGCGUAGAGAUGUGGAGGAACACCGAUGGCGAAGGCAGCCCCCUGGGCUAACACUGACGCUCAUGCACGAAAGCGUGGGGAGCAAACAGG
Molecule: ribosomal RNA, 256 nt
Filed under: uncultured bacterium
Lineage: Bacteria
Description: partial 16S ribosomal RNA
Rfam family: Bacterial small subunit ribosomal RNA
Source: RNAcentral